CCUACGGGUGGCAGCAGUGAGGAAUAUUGGUCAAUGGACGAGAGUCUGAACCAGCCAAGUAGCGUGAAGGAUGACUGCCCUAUGGGUUGUAAACUUCUUUUAUAAAGGAAUAAACCGAGGCACGUGUGCCUUUUUGCAUGUACUUUAUGAUAAGGAUCGGCUAACGCCGUGCCAGCAGCCGCGGUAAUACGGAGGAUCUGAGCGUUAUCCGGAUUUAUUGGGUUUAAAGGGAGCGUAGAUGGGUUGUUAAGUCAGUGGUGAAAAUUUGGGUCUCAACCGUCGAAUUGCAAUUGAUACUGGCAGGCUUGAGAACAGUUGAGGUAAGCGGAAUGCGUGGUGUAGCGGUGAAAUGCUUAGAGAUCACGAAGAACCCCGAUUGCGAAGGCAGCUUACUAAGCUGUGACUGACAUUGAGGCUCGAAAGUGUGGGUAGCAAACAGGAUUAGAUACCCUAGUAGUC
RNAcentral lists this ribosomal RNA (459 nucleotides) under uncultured bacterium. Its description in RNAcentral is "partial 16S ribosomal RNA". It matches the Rfam family "Bacterial small subunit ribosomal RNA", at positions 338 to 795 of the family's 1533-position model. The record is from RNAcentral.